AAAAGGUUCACGAAGGAACACAAUCUUUCACGUGGGGCUCCGGCAUCACUCUCUUCUUCAGCUUCAGUCCCAAAGGAACAGUGGAGGCAGACAGAAGAGGAGAGCUGUUCCUAAAGAGGACAGAAGACCUGGGGAAGACGUUCACCACCGUGGCACACAGCAUCUUCUCCUUCGGCUAUGUAGGAGGCUUCCUCUUCACCUCAGUCAUAGAGACACUGGGAGCCCCACGUGUCAUCUAUGUGUCCUCAGACCAAGGGGACCACUUCAACAAAGCCCAGCUCCCUCC
Long non-coding RNA from Oncorhynchus keta (chum salmon), 286 nucleotides. RefSeq lists it as uncharacterized. The transcript has 4 exons. NCBI's taxonomy places the organism in Eukaryota, Metazoa, Chordata, Actinopteri, Salmoniformes, Salmonidae. The record is from RefSeq and is a predicted model, not a curated record.